RNAcentral lists this ribosomal RNA (503 nucleotides) under uncultured bacterium. RNAcentral's name for it is "bacterial SSU rRNA". It matches the Rfam family "Bacterial small subunit ribosomal RNA", at positions 24 to 518 of the family's 1533-position model. The record is from RNAcentral.
UCAGGAUGAACGCUAGCGACAGGCUUAACACAUGCAAGGUCGAGGGCAGCAUAGAAGUAGCAAUACGUCGGUGGCGACCGGCGCACGGGUGAGUAACGCGUAUGCAACCUACCUAUCAGAGGGGAAUAACCCGGCGAAAGUCGGACUAAUACCGCAUAAAACAGGGGCACCGCAUGGUGAUAUUUGUUAAAGAAAUUCGCUGAUAGAUGGGCAUGCGUUCCAUUAGGUAGUUGGUGAGGUAACGGCUCACCAAGCCGACGAUGGAUAGGGGAACUGAGAGGUUGGUCCCUCACACUGGUACUGAGACACGGACCAGACUCCUACGGGAGGCAGCAGUGAGGAAUAUUGGUCAAUGGGCGGGAGCCUGAACCAGCCAAGUCGCGUGAAAGGAAGAAGGAUCUAUGGUUCGUAAACUUCUUUUGCAGGGGAAUAAAGUGCAGGACGUGUCCUGUUUUGUAUGUACCCUGAGAAUAAGGAUCGGCUAACUCCGUGCCAGCCGCUGC